AUACGUAGGGGGCGUGCGUUGUCCGGAAUGAUUGGGCGUAAAGGGCGCGUAGGCGGCCCGGUAAGUCUGGAGUGAAAGUCCUGUUUUUAAGAUGGGAAUUGCUUUGGAUACUGUCGGGCUUGAGUGCAGGAGAGGUAAGUGGAAUUCCCAGUGUAGCGGUGAAAUGCGUAGAGAUUGGGAGGAACACCAGUGGCGAAGGCGACUUACUGGACUGUAACUGACGCUGAGGCGCGAAAGUGUGGGGAGCAAACAGGAUUAGAUACCCUGGUAGUCCACACUGUAAACGAUGAAUGCUAGGUGUAGGGGGUAUCGACCCCUUCUGUGCCGCAGUCAACACAAUAAGCAUUCCGCCUGGGGAGUACGGCCGCAAGGUUGAAACUCAAAUGAAUUGACGGGG
Molecule: ribosomal RNA, 397 nt
Filed under: uncultured bacterium
Lineage: Bacteria
Description: partial 16S ribosomal RNA
Rfam family: Bacterial small subunit ribosomal RNA
Source: RNAcentral